CCUUGAGACCCAAGAGGUUAAAGACCUUGGGAUUACUGGAUCUAAGUUUAGUUUUGUUGAUCCUUAUGUUGAGAGUCUAGUUUUGCUAGACAAACCCGACCUUGCAGUUACUUACUAAGGGAAAGUAAGAGGAACAACAACAGGCAAGGACGUUGAGGAAUCAUGGAAGCUGAUGAGCUGUACAUAAGUAACAAACUUUAACUCAGUGAAAGAAAAGAGUCAACAAAGUUUCUUGGUGUUGUGUAAUUAGUGUUGGCAUUAGUUAUUAUGUCAAAAUGGAUUGUAGUUAUAACUUUAGAGGAGUUUAUUUUGUUAAACUAAUUUGGGCUACACCACUCUUAUGUUAGUUUUUCCGGAUGAUAUGAAGUUUUGUUUCAACGUGUUUACAAAAAUGGUAAAGCACUAUAUUGUCUGCCAUGCUUUCAUU
Molecule: long non-coding RNA, 427 nt
Organism: Quercus robur (English oak)
Lineage: Eukaryota; Viridiplantae; Streptophyta; Magnoliopsida; Fagales; Fagaceae
Exons: 2
Source: RefSeq, a predicted model, not a curated record